AGUGUAGGCGGUUAUAUCAGUCGGAUGUGAAAGCCCCGGGCUCAACCUGGGAAUUGCAUUCGAUACUGUAUAGCUAGAGUUUGGUAGAGGUAAGUGGAAUUCCGGGUGUAGCGGUGAAAUGCGUAGAUAUCCGGAGGAACAUCAGUGGCGAAGGCGGCUUACUGGACCAAAACUGACGCUGAGGCUCGAAAGCGUGGGGAGCAAACA
This 207-nucleotide ribosomal RNA is filed under the name uncultured bacterium. Its description in RNAcentral is "partial 16S ribosomal RNA". It matches the Rfam family "Bacterial small subunit ribosomal RNA", at positions 568 to 774 of the family's 1533-position model. The record is from RNAcentral.